AACCUGUAAUGAACUACUUUAAUUCCUGACACCUCAUAUGAAAACUGCAUAUAUAGUCUGAUUAUUGUGCAAGACAGAGGCUU
RNAcentral lists this small nucleolar RNA (83 nucleotides) under Sciurus vulgaris (Eurasian red squirrel). RNAcentral's name for it is "Small nucleolar RNA SNORD60 (ENSSVLG00005016216.1)". It matches the Rfam family "Small nucleolar RNA SNORD60". Rfam says of the family: U60 belongs to the C/D class of snoRNA which contain the C (UGAUGA) and D (CUGA) box motifs. Most of the members of the box C/D family function in directing site-specific 2'-O-methylation of substrate RNAs. The record is from Rfam by way of RNAcentral. Lineage: Eukaryota; Metazoa; Chordata; Mammalia; Rodentia; Sciuridae.